UGGAGGAAAGCAGGGGAUCGUAAGACCUUGCGCUUUUGGAGCGGCCGAUGUUUGAUUAGCUAGUUGGUGGGGUAAUGGCCUACCAAAGCUUCGAUCAGUAGCUGGUCUGAGAGGACGGCCAGCCACACUGGGACUGAGACACGGCCCAGACUCCUACGGGAGGCAGCAGUGGGGAAUUUUGGACAAUGGGCGCAAGCCUGAUCCAGCCAUGCCGCGUGAGUGAAGAAGGCCUUCGAGUUGUAAAGCUCUUUCAGCCGGGAAGAAAAGGCUGCGACUAAUAAUCGCAGUUCAUGACGGUACCGGAAGAAGAAGCACCGGCUAACUACGUGCCAGCAGCCGCGGUAAUACGUAGGGUGCGAGCGUUAAUCGGAAUUACUGGGCGUAAAGGGUGCGCAGGCGGUUUUGUAAGUCAGAUGUGA
This 419-nucleotide ribosomal RNA is filed under the name uncultured ammonia-oxidizing beta proteobacterium. RNAcentral's name for it is "bacterial SSU rRNA". It matches the Rfam family "Bacterial small subunit ribosomal RNA", at positions 197 to 597 of the family's 1533-position model. The record is from RNAcentral. Lineage: Bacteria; Pseudomonadati; Pseudomonadota; Betaproteobacteria.